This is a non-coding RNA of Caenorhabditis elegans, 21 nucleotides long. NCBI's taxonomy places the organism in Eukaryota, Metazoa, Nematoda, Chromadorea, Rhabditida, Rhabditidae. The record is from Ensembl.
UUACACCAGUUCCGCAAACAC